Daucus carota subsp. sativus is the source of this 73-nucleotide non-coding RNA. The record is from Rfam. NCBI's taxonomy places the organism in Eukaryota, Viridiplantae, Streptophyta, Magnoliopsida, Apiales, Apiaceae.
GAGAUGUGAUGAGUAUAUACUUUGGUCCGUGUUUCUGAUCAACUGUGACUGAUUUUAACCAAUCUCUGAUUUC